RNAcentral lists this ribosomal RNA (1432 nucleotides) under metagenome. RNAcentral describes it as "bacterial SSU rRNA". It matches the Rfam family "Bacterial small subunit ribosomal RNA". The record is from RNAcentral.
AGAUUGAACGCAGGCGGCAUGGUUAAAGCAUGCAAGUCGUACGAGAAACGAGCUUCGGCUCGUGGACAGUGGCGAAAGGGCGAGGAAUGGUAUCGAACGUACCCCGAGGUGGAGGAUAGGUCAGGGAAACUUGGCAUAAUACUCCAUGAUCUCCAAGGAGCAAAGCUACGGCGCCUUGGGAGCGGCGAUACUCCUAUCAGGUUGUUGGUGGGGUAAAGGCCUACCAAGCCGAAGACGGGUAGCGGGUGUGAGAGCAUGACCCGCCGCAUCGGGACUGAGACACUGCCCGGACUCCUACGGGAGGCUGCAGCGACGAAUAUUCCGCAAUGCGCGAAAGCGUGACGGAGCAAUGCCGCGUGCAGGAUGAAGCGGUUUCGCCGUGUAAACUGCUGUCAGGGUCUAGGAAGAUCUGACCAGACCCAGAGGAAGGGCCGGCUAAUCUCGUGCCAGCAGCCGCGGUAAUACGAGAGGCCCGAGCGUUACUCGGAAUCACUGGGCUUAAAGGGUGCGCAGGCGGAUCGGAAAGCAUUUUGUGAAAUCCCACGGCUCAACCGUGGAACUGCAGAGUGAACUUCCGGUCUUGAGGUAGGUAGAGGCUGACGGAACCAUUGGUAGCGGUGGAAUGCGUAGAGAUCAAUGGGAACGCCAAAGGCGAAGGCAGUCAGCUGGGCCUUACCUGACGCUGAGGCACGAAAGCGUGGGGAGCAAACAGGAUUAGAUACCCUGGUAGUCCACGCCCUAAACGAUGUGCACUAGAUCGGAGCGGCUCUGAUGUCGUUCUGGUCGCAGAGAAAUCAUUAAGUGCACCGCCUGGGGAGUACGGUCGCAAGGCUAAAACUCAAAGGAAUUGACGGGGGCUCACACAAGCGGUGGAGCAUGUUGCUUAAUUCGAAGCAACGCGAAGAACCUUACCCGGGUUUGACAUGUAUGGAUUAGCUCUUGGAAACUUGAGUAACGCCCUUUGGGUGGAACAUACACAGGUGCUGCAUGGCUGUCGUCAGCUCGUGCUGUGAAGUGUCGGGUUAAGUCCCUUAACGAGCGCAACCCCUAUCGCUAGUUGCCAACGCGUCAUGGCGGGGACUCUAGCGAGACUGCCGGUGUCAAACCGGAGGAAGGUGGGGAUGACGUCAAGUCCGCAUGGCCCUUACGUCCGGGGAUGCAAACGUGCUACAAUGGCGUGUACAAAGCGAUGCGAGACCGCAAGGUGGAGCAAAUCGCAAAAAGCACGCCCCAGUUCGGAUUGCAGGCUGCAACUCGCCUGCAUGAAGUCGGAAUCGCUAGUAAUCGCAGAUCAGCUACGCUGCGGUGAAUACGUUCCUGAGCCUUGUACACACCGCCCGUCAAGUCAUGGAAGCCGGGAGUGCCCGAAGUCGCCAUAUUUCAAUGGUGCCCACGGCAAGUUCGGUGACUGGGACUAAGUCGUAACAAGGUA